GAUGAACGCUGGCGGCGUGCCUAAUACAUGCAAGUCGAGCGAACGGACGAGAAGCUUGCUUCUCUGAUGUUAGCGGCGGACGGGUGAGUAACACGUGGAUAACCUACCUAUAAGACUGGGAUAACUUCGGGAAACCGGAGCUAAUACCGGAUAAUAUUUUGAACCGCAUGGUUCAAAAGUGAAAGACGGUCUUGCUGUCACUUAUAGAUGGAUCCGCGCUGCAUUAGCUAGUUGGUAAGGUAACGGCUUACCAAGGCAACGAUGCAUAGCCGACCUGAGAGAGGGAUCGGCCACACUGGAACUGAGACACGGUCCAGACUCCUACGGGAGGCAGCAGGAGGGAAUCUUCCGCAAGGGGCGAAAGCCUGACGGAGCAACGCCGCGUGAGUGAUGAAGGUCUUCGGAUCGUAAAACUCUGUUAUUAGGGAAGAACAUAUGUGUAAGUAACUGUGCACAUCUUGACGGUACCUAAGCAGAAAGCCACGGCUAACUACGU
Molecule: ribosomal RNA, 496 nt
Filed under: uncultured bacterium
Lineage: Bacteria
Description: partial 16S ribosomal RNA
Rfam family: Bacterial small subunit ribosomal RNA
Source: RNAcentral